AGGCUGGGUUUAGCUUUUCCCUUUAUCUCUCCACUUUCCCCAGAGAGAAGAAGAAAUAGAGAAUUUGAAAACAGUGAUUUCACCCAUUUUUCCCUAACUCUCAGUCCUUCCCACUGUGCCAACCAUGAUAUG
Molecule: long non-coding RNA, 132 nt
Organism: Ochotona curzoniae (black-lipped pika)
Lineage: Eukaryota; Metazoa; Chordata; Mammalia; Lagomorpha; Ochotonidae
Exons: 3
Source: RefSeq, a predicted model, not a curated record